GACGAACGCUGGCGGCGUGCCUAAUACAUGCAAGUCGAGCGAAGCGGCGGCUGGGUGAGUAACGCGUGGGUAACCUGCCCUUAAGUCUGGGAUACCAUUUGGAACCAGAUGCUAAUACCGGAUACUAAAGGAUGGACCUGCGAUGCAUUAGCUAGUUGGGAAGGUAACGGAUUACCAAGGAGAUGAUGCAUAGCCGAGUUGAGAGACUGAUCGGCCACACUGGAACUGAGACACGGUCCAGACUCCACCGGGAGGCAGCAGUGGGGAAUAUUGCACAAUGGGCGCAAGCCUGAUGCAGCCAUGCCGCGUGUAUGAAGAAGGCCUUCGGGUUGUAAAGUACUUUCAGCGAGGAGGCGUUACUCGCAGAAGAAGCACCGGCUAACUCCGUGCCAGCAGCCGCGGUAAUAC
Molecule: ribosomal RNA, 408 nt
Filed under: uncultured bacterium
Lineage: Bacteria
Description: partial 16S ribosomal RNA
Rfam family: Bacterial small subunit ribosomal RNA
Source: RNAcentral